AGAGCUCCUCUUGCUGCUAUGUUGCUGAUUGGAAGGCAACAGUUGUUUGUCUCAUAUUUUAUGAGAAAAAAGAAAAUUUUUGGUCCUUCUUCUCUCCGGCAUUCUCUUUCCUCAUGUUGAGCUUUCACUGACAUGCUCACUUUGACUAAAUCAAACUUGUGCAUGGUGUUCUUAAUUGCUAAGAGCAUUGGAUACAAGGGGCAUAUCAUCAUGUCAAUCGCCACAUCAUAGACAACCUAAAAUUUGAAUUAAGAUGUCCCUUGUUCACUCCUGGUGCAAAUGAUGAAGAUUUUGUCUGCUCAAUACUCCUAUUAAGUUUCUUCUUCCAGGUAUUUAAACUAAAGGUGGGAGAAGAAGAGCACGACAUUUGGCGAGUCUCAUUAAUAGACUAUACUCGAAGAUGAGAUUGUGAGUCCAAUCCUAAUGGUCAGACCAGACCUGCAGUUUUGCGAGAUGUUCUUCAUCAUUGUUCCAGUUUGCAGUUGUAUUAUUUCAUGCUGUUGCCUGAACAGGCAUGAUUACACAAGGUUGAGAAUAUUUGGUAGCAUUUGCAAAUAUUUUUUCACCUUCUGAUGUACAGUAAUUUUCCUUUUGCAUUUGCACGCUGGGCAGAAAUGGGGAAUAAUAUGAAAUCCUACUACGCAU
Long non-coding RNA from Coffea arabica (coffee), 645 nucleotides. RefSeq lists it as uncharacterized. NCBI's taxonomy places the organism in Eukaryota, Viridiplantae, Streptophyta, Magnoliopsida, Gentianales, Rubiaceae. The record is from RefSeq and is a predicted model, not a curated record.